UUUAACAAUUUCGUCCAUGAGAUGCAAAUUCAAAACUCAUUAGGAGCCAAACUAAUGAAAAAAAUGAAAGAAUUUGUAGGGAAUGCUGAGGGUUGUGUCACAAGAGAGGGCAUUGCACAAGGCCACCACGUUUUACAAUUCCAGGGCACCCCCAUUCACAUCAUAUUGUAUGUGAAUGGUGCCCCCUAGUGUAGAGCAAUGCAGAGGCCCUCUACAUGCCCUGUUCAUUCAUUCAUUCAGGACGUCCUCAAUGAGCCAACUGUGCG
This 266-nucleotide long non-coding RNA is filed under the name Homo sapiens (human). Its description in RNAcentral is "non-protein coding lnc-CEP128-7:1". Lineage: Eukaryota; Metazoa; Chordata; Mammalia; Primates; Hominidae. The record is from RNAcentral.